AGUGAACGCUGGCGGCAGGCCUAACACAUGCAAGUCGAACGGCAGCACAGUAAGAGCUUGCUCUUACGGGUGGCGAGUGGCGGACGGGUGAGGAAUACAUCGGAAUCUACUUUUUCGUGGGGGAUAACGUAGGGAAACUUACGAUAAUACCGCAUACGACCUACGGGUGAAAGCAGGGGAUCUUCGGACCUUGCGCGAUUGAAUGAGCCGAUGUCGGAUUAGCUAGUUGGCGGGGUAAAGGCCCACCAAGGCGACGAUCCGUAGCUGGUCUGAGAGGAUGAUCAGCCACACUGGAACUGAGACACGGUCCAGACUCCUACGGGAGGCAGCAGUGGGGAAUAUUGGACAAUGGGCGCAAGCCUGAUCCAGCCAUACCGCGUGGGUGAAGAAGGCCUUCGGGUUGUAAAGCCCUUUUGUUGGGAAAGAAAAGCAGCAGGUUAAUACCCCGCUGUUCUGACGGUACCCAAAGAAUAAGCACCGGCUAACUUCGUG
Molecule: ribosomal RNA, 492 nt
Filed under: uncultured bacterium
Lineage: Bacteria
Description: partial 16S ribosomal RNA
Rfam family: Bacterial small subunit ribosomal RNA
Source: RNAcentral